This 440-nucleotide ribosomal RNA is filed under the name uncultured bacterium. RNAcentral's name for it is "partial 16S ribosomal RNA". It matches the Rfam family "Bacterial small subunit ribosomal RNA", at positions 338 to 795 of the family's 1533-position model. The record is from RNAcentral.
CCUACGGGCGGCAGCAGUGGGGAAUAUUGCACAAUGGGGGAAACCCUGAUGCAGCGACGCCGCGUGAGUGAAGAAGUAAUUCGUUACGUAAAGCUCUAUCAGCAGGGAAGAAAAUGACGGUACCUGAGUAAGAAGCCCCGGCUAACUACGUGCCAGCAGCCGCGGUAAUACGUAGGGGGCCAGCGUUAUCCGGAUGUACUGGGUGUAAAGGGAGCGUAGGCGGUUGGACAAGUCAGGAGUGAAAUGGCGCGGCUUAACUGAGGAACUGCAUUUGAAACUGGCCAACUAGAGUGCGGUAGAGGUAAGCGGAAUUCCUGGUGUAGCGGUGAAAUGCGUAGAUAUUAGGAGGAACACCGGUGGCGAAGGCGGCUUACUGGACCGUAACUGACGUUGAGGCUCGAAAGCGUGGGGAGCAAACAGGAUUAGAUACCCCAGUAGUC